CCUACGGGAGGCAGCAGUGGGGAAUAUUGCACAAUGGGGGAAACCCUGAUGCAGCGACGCCGCGUGAGUGAAGAAGUAAUUCGGUAUGUAAAGCUCUAUCAGCAGGGAAGAAAAUGACGGUACCUGAGUAAGAAGCCCCGGCUAACUACGUGCCAGCAGCCGCGGUAAUACGGAGGGGGCAAGCGUUAGCCGGAUUUACUGGGUGUAAAGGGAGCGUAGACGGCCGUGCAAGUCUGGAGUGAAAGGCGGGGGCUCAACCCCCGGACUGCUCUGGAUACUGUACGGCUGGAGUGCAGGAGAGGUAAGUAGAAUUCCUAGUGUAGCGGUGAAAUGCGUAGAUAUUAGGAGGAACACCAGUGGCGAAGGCGGCUUACUGGACUGUAACUGACGUUGAGGCUCGAAAGCGUGGGGAGCAAACAGGAUUAGAUACCCCUGUAGUC
This 440-nucleotide ribosomal RNA is filed under the name uncultured bacterium. RNAcentral describes it as "partial 16S ribosomal RNA". It matches the Rfam family "Bacterial small subunit ribosomal RNA", at positions 338 to 795 of the family's 1533-position model. The record is from RNAcentral.